This 784-nucleotide long non-coding RNA is filed under the name Ananas comosus (pineapple). RNAcentral describes it as "long non-coding RNA (ACOM_LNC017888)". Lineage: Eukaryota; Viridiplantae; Streptophyta; Magnoliopsida; Poales; Bromeliaceae. The record is from RNAcentral.
AAAUUUAGGAAAAAUCAUAUUGCUCUUGUAAACAUAUUAAAUAGCAGAUAUAUUUCUACAAAAUUCAAGUUUUCAUAUCUAUUCUUUCAAAAAUUUAGUGAUAUUCAUGUUUGUCACUCUUAUUUGUUACCGUUAGCUCACUAUUUAUUUUCUAACAGAAGAACAGCGAAAUAUCAAUUUUGUAAUCACAAAUAUGUUCCUCUAAAAGUCCUAUUUGUUAGAAUCAUGUAAAAAUAUUCUUCCAAAAAAGUUUCAAUAGUCAACUUCUUCUCUAUAAAAACUAACACAUUCACCACCAUUACAACACCUUCUCUACCUCUUUCUCACUCCUUUUCUCCUUUACCUAUAAAAUACUAAGUUUUUGGCGCUCAACUUAAGCGAAGCAACACAUAUCGUGGAUAAAUGGAGAUGAAAAAAUCCUAGUUACGAGUACGAAACUAGCAUGAAGGAGAGAGAGGAAGAGGAAGAAGAGUUUUUAUUGUUAAGGCUUUGAUGGAAAUAAGAUUUUGAUUAAGAGAAGAAGGCAUAAUAUGAGGCGUAAAAAGGUUAAUUUACCUCGCUCAUGAACCAAUGUUAAAUAUUUUAUCUGUGGUUAACUAUAUAAUUCUAAUGGACAAUAACAGUAGGAAUAUAUUUGAAAUCAUUAGGACGUUUUGAGGUAUAAAUUUGAAAACUUGAACUUCGCAAGAAUAUAUCUGCUAUUCGAUAUAUUUAUAGAGAACCAUAUGAAAUUCUCCCUUAAAAUUAUUAUUUCUCAUUAAUUUCGUUAUGUAAUGAAAGUACA